Molecule: long non-coding RNA, 4848 nt
Organism: Canis lupus familiaris (dog)
Lineage: Eukaryota; Metazoa; Chordata; Mammalia; Carnivora; Canidae
Exons: 3
Source: RefSeq, a predicted model, not a curated record
GCAUGAAGCCUGCUUGUCCCUCAUUCUUCUCCUCUGCUCCUCCUCCUCUUGUGCUCACUACUUCUCUCUCUCUCUCUAAAAUCACUCACUCACUCACUCACUCACUCACUCACUCACUCACUAACUCUUUAAACAAACUAUAAUACUGUCAUCAACACAGCCUGGUGCUUGAGAGCCCAGAUUCUGGAGCCAGACUGCCUGGAUUCAAGGUCCAUUUUUUUAUACCACCAGCUCUGUGACCUUAGGUAAAAGAUAAAAUAGGAUAUUGCACCCAUUAUUCUUUGUUAAGCCUCUAUUGAACAGCAGACCUGAAGCAAAGAUCAGAGACGCUGGGAACUUAUGGAGGGUGUUGACAGAUGUCUCAUAUAUAUCCUGAUCCAUGAUAAAGGAGUCUGGCUAAACGGAGCCCCACUCAUUGGCAUCACACUAUUGAUCACCACCAAACACCAGUAGAUCCUUUUUAUUCUGCAAACAUUAUCUACUAUUAUGAAUAAGAAUAUCAUCUUACCAUCUCUCCCAGAGCACAGAAGCAAAUACAAAGGAAGAAUCCUGUAAUUUUAACUGCAUCAAGCUGUCCUGAGCUCUGUUCAUCAGAGAAUUCAAUUCUGCUGAAUAAUUCUCCAUAGGCACGAAUGAUAAAAGAGGGGAUUAUUACCCAUCUGUUUGCCCUCUCGGCUUUUGUCCAGCCCUUAUUGUCUUCUCAAGCUGGAUCCAUCUGAUUAAUUUAGUGACGCAGGAAGGCAUCACCAAAUAUGAGCACAUUCCCAGGCCCUGGGAGCCUCUUGCCACACUGAGGCAGAGUGACACAGGGUAUUCUGCCUUGGAGCAUUUCAGCAAACUGGGGCUGGAAUAAGAUAUUUAAGAUCAAGGCCAUGACAUCUGUGGCUGGGAAAGGGCCAACAGAGAUCAUUUUUAUCUUCUGCUGCACACAUGCAAUCUAUUCAUCACAGGCAUCAAGAUCUUGACUGAGCAGCCAGAAAAAGCACAAGAGCUCUCAUCUCCUCUGUUUAUAUUAUUUUGCCUUGUUUUUCCUUACAAGCUAAUAUAAGAUUUUUUCAAGUCUGUGCAAGACUUUGCCAGGGCCCUUGUUUCCAGGAGACAAAUUUGAAUGGGAUUUGGGCAGAAAAGAAGGGAGACUCUGAACCAUUAGAGUUCCUGAUUUCCAGGUUGUAGAAUUCAGGGGUCAUUCUUUUAGGGAAAUGGACGUGAUUGUCAAAUGUUCCAACCUAAACAGAAAAUAAAAUAAUUUGUUUACAUGCAAACACUUCCACUUAAACUUCAUGUGAAAAGCCCAUCCAUUUCUUUCUCUAAUCUAUUCUCUUCGAGGCCAGAAUUCUAGAUUAUAAAAGUUUACAUUAGAAUCAAAACAUUUUCAUUGGUGAAAAUUGUCUUUUACUUAUUUUGUGACUUUUCUGGACCCUAUUAUAGAGUAGAAAUUGUAGCUGUACUUACAUGCUUCCAACUCACACUCUUAGAUCCAGUAGGAUGUAUAAGAGAACCACUAUGUUAUUAGAGAUUCUGAGUUCAAUUCCAGGCUUUCAAACUAACCACCAUGUCUGCUUCCCUUCCCUGGGCUUCCUUUUCCUUGCCUGAGAAAUGAUAUAGUUAGACAACAUUGUUUCUGAAGUCCCUUACUGUUCUGAAAGUUUCUUUUCCUGGAGGGUAUUUGCUUCUAGUGGCAUUUACACUAUGUAUUAACAAUUUCUCUGUAUUGAUUUUGUGGCUACUCUAUUAAAUAGAAACAUGCUUAUCUUUGUCUUCAUGAGUGUAAUAGAGGCUAAAGUGGAGAAGGUGACAUGACCUUCACCCUUUAAAGGCACAUUAUCCUGAGCAACUUCUGAGCUCUGCUUCUAAUCUACUUUUGAUUAUGUCUCUUCUUUCACUAAAGACACAGCAAUAAGAACUUCAGAAAGAAGAUGCCUAUUAUGUUUUCACACUCCCCCACUUUCAUUUAAAAUGUGCUGCUAUCAUGCACUUAUUUUAUAAUUUACCAUUAAUCUCUGUGACACUGCCGUGAUCAGGAUUUCAGAACAUUUCUGAAAGGUGCAUUGUCUCAUACUGCUUUUGUACAGUGAAUUGCAUUUUGCUGCUAUCCACUUUCAAGAUUGCUGAAGCACACUCAUAAUGGGUUAUCAUGAUCCCAGGUAAAAGCAACCCAGCAACACCGAAUUACAUACUCAGGCUUCUCUACCAGGAUCUUACUUUACUUUUAGAUGUAAAGAACUGGCCUCGCCCUGCACUUUUUCAGGAUCUACGAGAAUAGUAUAAUGAACUAUUAAGAUCAAGCCUCAGAAUUCAGCUCUUCUGAAGUCCUGGGUAGUGAUACUACCUUUGUAUUUACAUUUUGUAAGGACAAAAGGGAGAGGAGUAGUAAUUGACAUUUAUUAUGUCCCUUCUAUCAUAUAUUCCAAAUGCUACAUUAGGUGCAUCUAACUCACCCUUGCUCACCCAAGCCCCUCCAGCAAACUGUGAAGCAGGGAGUAUUAUGGCCAUGCUACUGACGAGAGACUAAAGUUUGGAGAUGUUUUGCAAAUUACUGAAUAUUGCACAAGAAGGAAAUACAGAACCUUGACUUGAACCCAGGUCUAUUUGUUUAGCAAAACCCAUAUGGUGGGUUUGUGAUUUCUUCAUCCUUUUUAAAUUUUUAAAAUGUCCAUUCUGCAUACAUAAUAUAUUUCUUACAUUUGGUUUUUUUUUCAUUUUUUUCAUUUAUUCUUAUUUCUUUAUUGUAGUAGCAUGAUUUCAUUUUCUACCAUGCAAUUAUCCACCAAUAUAGUAUGCAAUCUUCCAUCUUUUGGAGUUUGCUGUUCCCUUGUCUGCCAUCUUAUAAGGACCACGUUUCUGCAAAUAUUUUUAGAUCUGGCACAGGGUCUUUGGGAAACCAACCAUAAUGGAGCCUGUAAUUCAUGUGUCUGAAAGUCCUUCCCUGAUAUAGACAGGUCUACUUGUCCUGCCUCUUUCAUCAAACAGGGGGAUAGAAGGGAGGAAGAACAGAGGCAAGUCUGUAAAAGAGCUGCUGGUAGAGAAUAACCGUUGGAGUCUUGUGAACAUGUUGAAUCAGCUUAAGAACUUAAUUUUUUUAAGUCAAUAAUAAAGAAGGUGAGAGUUUAGGGUUUUUUUUCCUAUCGUGGACACAGUUGUCUAUAUGAAUAAAAAUUGAAAACAGAGAUUGUGAAAAACUGCCAAAUGACCUAAAAACUAUGGAAAUUUCUUGCAAACACUAGACAGCGGAAAGUCAACACCAAAGGCAGUCUACAGGCUGCACGCAGGUGGAAAAUACUGAAGGUCACACAUAAUGUCAUUUUACCAGAUGUGCACAUCAGCGUAAAUAUAUGUUCUCAGCAAUCCUUAAGGCAGGGUGCUGGUGGAUAGAAAUGUAGACAGCAUCUAAGGACACAUCUUUGGCUUGUGCCAUCAAAUACUGAGAUUCAAUGUUCUUUUCACUCUUAUUAAGUUAACAGACACUAUAGUUCUAAGACAGAGAAUCCUGGGAAUAAAGUACCUUCUGAAAAUUAAUAGUUUUUAAAAUUUUUGACAAGAUCCAUGUUUCUGGGAGCAAGGAAUCCUUUGCAGGGUUGUGUGGGGUUUUUUUUUUGUUUUUGUUUUUGUUUUUGUUUUUGUUUUGUCAUUUAUGGUCUACAGCUGGAGCACUUUUCCAGGAUCCUAUAGCCUCUCCUGUUGCUAAGCCACACCUCAGAUAAAACAGUGAUCUAUAAUCUGGAGUUAUUAUGAAGAUUCAGUAUUUUGAAGCCAUUCUUGAGAAUUUGAUGAAUUUCAUUUUCUGUUUAGGAGAUUCUAGUUGCAUAUCUAGAAUUAGAUAGAAUAGAGUUAUUGUUCAUAUUCAAGUGAUUACCCAAAGGAAAUACUCCCUUCUUGCUGUUUCUCUAGGAGAAAAUAAUGAAUUCACACACACACACACACACACACACACACACACAGAUAUAAAGGAAAACUGCCAGAUAUGUUUAAAUCCAAAUUCCUGUUGGUACUUUGAUACUGGCAUUUGCUGUUCUUUGUGCUAAGAACAGAAAGUCCCAAUCUUUAAAACAUUUUGAAGGUAGUUUUAUCAAAUGACAAAUUAUCUCACAGCAAAGAGCCUAUCUCCCAUAUAAGAAUCAAAAACCUGCUUGAAAAGUCGAUAAAUAACAUCUAAUCCUUUGUUUCAUUUCACAAGCAGUUCAGAGAGAAAGAUGCUCUGUCUCAGUAUUUCUGAAGCCUGGCUACACAUUUGAAUCCCUCGGGUCUGUUUGUAACCUAGCAGAUUCGACCCGCCCUAAAGAUUUGGUUGUUUCUCUGGAUGGAGCUUGGGCUUUUUAUUUCUAAAAACUGCUCAGGUGAGUACAAUAGGCAGCUAGGCUUGAGCACUGCUUUGGGGGGACACUCAUCAAUGGAAUGCAGGACAGACAUGGAUGCUGGAAACAUGCAGUAGCAGCUGGAUGUCGGGGAGAGAGAGAGGCAAAGGAAGGCAGAUACUAGUUAGAUUUGAGCUCACCAGCAAUUACUGGAAAUAAUUAUUACUUAAUCUUCUUACUCCAUGGCAGUUACAUGGCAUAAUGGAAAGAUCUUGCCCCUGGCAUUGAGCAAGUGCCUAGUUUUCUGAUGUCAGGACCAUCCUGUUAAUUCAGAUUCAAAGACUCAGAGGCAAGCUUAGUAGAAUUGCUGCUUUAGUGAUGCUAUUUCCAAUAAUAUGCACAGAACCAUGAGUAUGAGGUCAACCUCACGUUGGCUAGAGCUGGGGGAACCAGAGGUAAAAAAAUUACAAAAUUUUAUUUGAACUUUUUUUCAUAUACAACGGAAUGUUACUGUGUUAUGAAAAAGAAUGCGAUCUUGCCAUUUAUGACAACAUCG